AUACAAAUUACUUAUAGUUUUUAAGCCCACAACUGACAACUAUCUACUCAAAUCAGCAGUGGAUCCCCGAACUAAAGAUCCUUAAUAUCAGAUUGAAACCUCUGGCAGCAAAAACCAAUAAAUCGACAGCUUAACCAUGUAUUAUUAGGUAUAAACAUUAUAUUAUACCAUUUAUUCAUAACGAAAUCAAUGAAGUCAAGAAGUCUAAAGAUUGUACAGGUAAAUUGUUUCAAUGAAGUACGUAAGCGGUGUAAAACACAUACGAAAGCUAAGAAAUGAUCGGUAAAAGUUCGACUGAAAACCAUCGAGAAAGUUUUAUGCAUUAUAUAAGAAUUCAGUGGCUUAACGAUUCUGCUGCGUUGUCACUGUUAAAUAAAACACACAUUCGGGGAAAUCAAAUUGGCUUCACUCUGCAAUUUCAGUUAAGAUUAUAAUGGCAUCACUCGCUUAAUUCCGAUUGCCCUACCCUAGCGCGAAAUUAUGUAUAUAAUUAAUUAAAUGAUACAACACGUGAACGUGUCUCUUUGAAGCCUUAAGAUACUACAACAAUUACCAGCUAAUCUUAGAU
This is a non-coding RNA of Drosophila melanogaster (fruit fly), 568 nucleotides long. The record is from Ensembl. NCBI's taxonomy places the organism in Eukaryota, Metazoa, Arthropoda, Insecta, Diptera, Drosophilidae.